UAACUGGAGAGUUUGAUCCUGGCUCAGAACGAACGCUGGCGGCGUGCUUAACACAUGCAAGU
This 62-nucleotide ribosomal RNA is filed under the name Desulfuromonas thiophila. Its description in RNAcentral is "Bacterial small subunit ribosomal RNA". It matches the Rfam family "Bacterial small subunit ribosomal RNA", at positions 1 to 62 of the family's 1533-position model. Lineage: Bacteria; Pseudomonadati; Thermodesulfobacteriota; Desulfuromonadia; Desulfuromonadales; Desulfuromonadaceae. The record is from Rfam by way of RNAcentral. RNAcentral also lists the same sequence under 1 other name.